AAGAUUCCGGCGAUUAAAGUCCACCGGUGGUAAAAUAUUACCCAAAUCUACACUCCUUGACUCGUUUUGGGGCAUUUAAUUUAGGAGCAUCAAUGACGAAGAGAGACAGACCCUUCAAGAGUCAACGAACACAUACUGAAGAGAAGCGGCUAAGAUCAGACAUUGACGAUGCAGUUGACGAUGCUAUUCCAGUUGACGAGAAUUAUGGUUUGGAGUGAGUCUUGGUUCGGCUAUAAUGAGAUCUUGGUUAAUGGAUAAACUGAUAUUCGG
Molecule: long non-coding RNA, 270 nt
Organism: Salvia splendens (bonfire salvia)
Lineage: Eukaryota; Viridiplantae; Streptophyta; Magnoliopsida; Lamiales; Lamiaceae
Exons: 3
Source: RefSeq, a predicted model, not a curated record